AGAGUUUGAUCAUGGCUCAGAUUGAACGCUGGCGGCAGGCCUAACACAUGCAAGUCGAACGGUAACAGGAAGCAGCUUGCUGCUUCGCUGACGAGUGGCGGACGGGUGAGUAAUGUCUGGGAAACUGCCUGAUGGAGGGGGAUAACUACUGGAAACGGUGGCUAAUACCGCAUAACGUCGCAAGACCAAAGAGGGGGACCUUCGGGCCUCUUGCCAUCAGAUGUGCCCAGAUGGGAUUAGCUUGUUGGUGAGGUAACGGCUCACCAAGGCGACGAUCCCUAGCUGGUCUGAGAGGAUGACCAGCCACACUGGAACUGAGACACGGUCCAGACUCCUACGGGAGGCAGCAGUGGGGAAUAUUGCACAAUGGGCGCAAGCCUGAUGCAGCCAUGCCGCGUGUAUGAAGAAGGCCUUCGGGUUGUAAAGUACUUUCAGCGGGGAGGAAGGUGUUGUGGUUAAUAACCACAGCAAUUGACGUUACCCGCAGAAGAAGCACCGGCUAACUCCGUGCCAGCAGCCGCGGUAAUACGGAGGGUGCAAGCGUUAAUCGGAAUUACUGGGCGUAAAGCGCACGCAGGCGGUCUGUCAAGUCGGAUGUGAAAUCCCCGGGCUCAACCUGGGAACUGCAUUCGAAACUGGCAGGCUUGAGUCUUGUAGAGGGGGGUAGAAUUCCAGGUGUAGCGGUGAAAUGCGUAGAGAUCUCGAGGAAUACCGGUGGCGAAGGCCGCCCCCUGGACUUAGACUGACGCUCUUGUGCGAAAGCGUGAGGAGCAAACUGGAUUACAUACCCUGGUAGUCCACGCCGUAAACGAUCUCUACAUGGACGUUGUGCCAUUGAGGCUUGACUUCCAGAGCUAACUCGUUAACUAGACCGCCUGCGGAGUACUGCCGCCAGGUUAAAACUCAUAUGAAAUGACGGUUGCCCGCUCAAGCGGUGGAGCAUGUGGUUUAAAACAAUGCAACGCGAAGAACCAUAACUUGUCUUGGAAUCCAGGGAAGCUUUCCCAGAUUAAAUUGUGCCUUCUGGAAACAAUGAAACGGGUGCUGCAUGGCCGGCCGAAAAAUCAAGGUUGGGAAAUGUUGGGUUUACCUUCGGGCAACAAGAAGCACCCAGGGGCAUUUUUUUGCCAGGGAGUAAGUUUCGGGAGCUAAAAGGAAUUUGCCAAUUUAUAAACCCCCAAUAAAGGGGGGCGAGGACCUUUAGCU
This 1206-nucleotide ribosomal RNA is filed under the name Salmonella enterica subsp. enterica serovar Tennessee str. CDC07-0191. Its description in RNAcentral is "bacterial SSU rRNA". It matches the Rfam family "Bacterial small subunit ribosomal RNA", at positions 8 to 1194 of the family's 1533-position model. Lineage: Bacteria; Pseudomonadati; Pseudomonadota; Gammaproteobacteria; Enterobacterales; Enterobacteriaceae. The record is from RNAcentral.